Molecule: long non-coding RNA, 259 nt
Filed under: Lathyrus oleraceus (garden pea)
Lineage: Eukaryota; Viridiplantae; Streptophyta; Magnoliopsida; Fabales; Fabaceae
Description: Pisum sativum (pea) long non-coding RNA (PSAT_LNC004552)
Source: RNAcentral
AGAUGAGAGGAAAUAUUUAUAUUUAUUUUUAUUUGUCUUUUUUUUUCUCUAAUUUUGUAUGUAUUUUAUUGUAUUUUCUUUUACAUUCAAUUUUAAACUAUUUAUUUUUUUGUUAUUAUAUUGUUAUUUUUUAUAUUUGUUUUGUUAGAUGGUUUAUCACGAUUUAAAAAUUAUUAUUAAUAAAUAAUUUAAUUUAUGUCGAAGAGUUAAAAUCUGAAUUAAAUGUGCUUAAUUUUUUUAACGUUACGUUAUAAUUUUU